AACCGAGAACUCCUACGGGAGGCAGCAGUUGGGAAUAUUGGACAAUGGGCGAAUGCCUGAUCCAGCCAUGCCGCGUGUGUGAAGAAGGUCUUCGGAUUGUAAAGCACUUUAAGUUGGGAGGAAGGGCAUUAACCUAAUACGUUAGUGUCUUGACGUUACCGACAGAAUAAGCACCGGCUAACUCUGUGCCAGCAGUCGCGGUAAUACAGAGGUUGCAAGCGUUAAUCGGAAUUACUGGGCGUAAAGCGCGCGUAGGUGGUUUGUUAAGUUGAAUGUGAAAUCCCCGGGCUCAACCUGGGAACUGCAUCCAAAACUGGCAAGCUAGAGUAUGGUAGAGGGUAGUGGAAUUUCCUGUGUAGCGGUGAAAUGCGUAGAUAUAGGAAGGAACACCAGUGGCGAAGGCGACUACCUGGACUGAUACUGACACUGAGGUGCGAAAGCGUGGGGAGCAAACAGGAUUAGAUACCCCGGUAGUCCGACUGAGA
This 485-nucleotide ribosomal RNA is filed under the name uncultured bacterium. RNAcentral's name for it is "bacterial SSU rRNA". It matches the Rfam family "Bacterial small subunit ribosomal RNA", at positions 327 to 805 of the family's 1533-position model. The record is from RNAcentral.